GACGAACGCUGGCGGCGUGCUUAACACAUGCAAGUCGAACGGAAAGGCCCUGCUUUUGUGGGGUGCUCGAGUGGCGAACGGGUGAGUAACACGUGAGUAACCUGCCCUUGACUUUGGGAUAACUUCAGGAAACUGGGGCUAAUACCGGAUAGGAGCUCCUGCUGCAUGGUGGGGGUUGGAAAGUUUCGGCGGUUGGGGAUAGACUCGCGGCUUAUCAGCUUGUUGGUGGGGUAGUGGCUUACCAAGGCUUUGACGGGUAGCCGGCCUGAGAGGGUGACCGGCCACAUUGGGACUGAGAUACGGCCCAGACUCCUACGGGAGGCAGAAGUGGGGAAUAUUGCACAAUGGGCGGAAGCCUGAUGCAGCAACGCCGCGUGCGGGAUGACGGCCUUCGGGUUGUAAACCGCUUUCGCCUGUGACGAAGCGUGAGUGACGGUAAUGGGUAAAGAAGCACCGGCUAACUACGUG
This 468-nucleotide ribosomal RNA is filed under the name uncultured bacterium. RNAcentral describes it as "partial 16S ribosomal RNA". It matches the Rfam family "Bacterial small subunit ribosomal RNA", at positions 28 to 507 of the family's 1533-position model. The record is from RNAcentral.